RNAcentral lists this long non-coding RNA (576 nucleotides) under Lathyrus oleraceus (garden pea). Its description in RNAcentral is "Pisum sativum (pea) long non-coding RNA (PSAT_LNC023927)". Lineage: Eukaryota; Viridiplantae; Streptophyta; Magnoliopsida; Fabales; Fabaceae. The record is from RNAcentral.
UUGAAGAAAAACUAGAUGCCGUGCUGUUUUGGUGGUUGUGAGCUCAAACAGGUGGUGAUUUGGAUUCCAAGUGGUGAAUGGUGAAGAUGGCUUAUCUCAAGAGUGCUUCACUUUACUCCAAUCUAGCUCUGCCAUUGAUGAAAGCUUGAAUGGAACAGUGGAGAAAAGGAACUUCCAGCACGAUUUUGAUGGUGGAAAUGAACUCAAUAUGCUGUCUAGGUGAAGAAAGGAUCACAGGUUUCUUGGGUGCUUUGAUGAUUUGUCCAAUUCGAGCAAAAAUGCAAAAAUGCAAGAAAGAGGAGAAUGUGUAUUUUCUGUGUGGUAGGCUGCAGAACUAGGGUUGGAAAUGCAGGAGAAUGGCUUAAAUAUCAUCUGUUAAUCAUCACUUAACCAUGUGCUAAGCUAACUUAGUGUAAAUGCCUUCAUUUGCAAAGUUGCUAAUUGGUAAGUAAGUGAACAAGGGAGGUGUGAAGCUGGUCGAUUAUGGGCUUGGACAGGCUGCUAGCAGACCAUUCAAAAUGCUGUUUGGUUGUACCUGUGAAAAGCUGUACUGAUUUUGCUUCAAAUGAAUCAAAA